UUCGUUCAGUUAUGUUAUACAGGGCGCCGGGUAGUAACAGAGUUCGAUCAUGGCUCGUUGAACGCUGGCGGGAUGCUUUACACAUGCAAGUCGAACGGCAGCACGGACUUCGGUCUGGUGGCGAGUGGCGAACGGGUGAGUAAUGUAUCGGAACUGUGCCUAAAGUAGCGAGGAUGCUCGCGGCGGCAGCUAUGCCGCAUACGCCCUUCGGGGAAAAGCGGGGACGCCGGGCCUCGCACUAUUAGAGCGGCCGAUAUCGGAUUAAAGCUGGAUUGGUGGGGUAACGGCUCACCAAGGCGACGAUCCGUAGCUGGUUUUGAAGGACGGCCAGCCUGCGGGACUGGAACGCGGCUGGAACUCUACAGGAAGGCAACGGUGAGGAAUUUGGACAAUGGGGAAACCUGAUCCCAGCCAUCCCGCUGUGUGCGAUGAAGGCCUUCGGGUUGUAAAGCACUUUUGGCAGGAAAGAAACGGCACGGGGGAUAAUACCCAUUGCAACUGACGGCCUGAAUAGCACCGGCUAACUAUGACCUUACAGCAUCGCGGUAAUACGUAGGGUGCAAGCGUUAAUCAGAUUACUGGGCGUAAGCGUGCGCAGGCGGUUCGGAAAGAAAGAUGUAAUCUUAGAGGCUUAACGCUGGAACUGCAUUUUUAACUACUGACUAGAGAGUGUGUCAGGGAAGUGGAAUUCCCGCGAUGUAGCAGUGAAAUGCAUAGAUAUGCGGAGGAACUUACCGAUAUGAAGGCAAUAUCUACCGGGAUAACACCAUUGCUCAUGCGAAAGCGUGGGGAGCAAGCAAGUUAGAUACCUGGUGGUCCACGCCCUAAACGAUGUCAGCUAGCUCAUUGGGGCCUUCGAGCGCUUGGUAGCGCAGCUAACGCGUGAAGUUGACCGCCUGGGGAAAUGCGGUCGCAAGUUGUUAAAACUAAAGGUGGCGGACCACACAAGCGGUGGAUGAUGUCGUUAAUAUUCGGUGCAACUGCGAAAAAAUAUACCUGCCAUGACGUAUCGGAAUCCCGAAGAGAUUUGGGAGUGCUCAUAAGAAGGCCGUUCUGGUGCUGCUGGCUGUCGUCAGCUCGUGUCGUGGAUGUUGGGUUAAGUCCCGCAACGAGCGCAACCCUUGUCAUUAGUUGCUACGAAGGGCACUCUAAUGAGACUGCCGGUAGUGGCCAGCCGGAAAGGUGGGGAUGACGUCAAAGUCCUCAUGGCCCUUAUGGGUAGGGGCUUCACACGUCAUACAAUGGUCGGGACAGAGGGUCGCCAACCCGCGAGGGAGCCAAUCCCAGAAACCCGAUCGUAGUCCGGAUCGCAGUCUGCAACUCGACUGCGUGAAGUCGAAUCUUCAAUAAUCGCGGAUCAACAUGUCGCGGUGAAUACGUUCAGGUCUUGUACACACCGCCCGUCACACCAUGGGAGUGGGUUUUACCAGAAGUAGUUAGCCCUAGCCGUAAGGAGGGCGAUUACCACAGUAGGAUUCAUGACUGGGGGUGAAGUCGUAACAAGGUAG
RNAcentral lists this ribosomal RNA (1508 nucleotides) under uncultured Bordetella sp. RNAcentral describes it as "partial 16S-23S ribosomal RNA intergenic spacer". It matches the Rfam family "Bacterial small subunit ribosomal RNA". The record is from RNAcentral. Lineage: Bacteria; Pseudomonadati; Pseudomonadota; Betaproteobacteria; Burkholderiales; Alcaligenaceae.